This 221-nucleotide long non-coding RNA is filed under the name Carica papaya (papaya). Its description in RNAcentral is "long non-coding RNA (CPAP_LNC000412)". Lineage: Eukaryota; Viridiplantae; Streptophyta; Magnoliopsida; Brassicales; Caricaceae. The record is from RNAcentral.
AUCAGAGAAUUAUCAUAAUUCUUGAAAAUUCUAAUUCAGUAUCAAAUUCAACUUCAUGGAUAGAGUUGAUGUCAAGAGCGAGAUGCCAAGAAGAAUAGUGAUUUUUUGGAGGGAGAAAUUUUCCUCUCGAAGCGAGUCUUUAGUGGAGAUGCGAGACUUGAAGAAUCUAUGCAUCAGGUCUUUUAGCUCUUUCUCCUUGUCUCCUUCUUCUUCUUUUUCAU